Molecule: ribosomal RNA, 497 nt
Filed under: uncultured bacterium
Lineage: Bacteria
Description: partial 16S ribosomal RNA
Rfam family: Bacterial small subunit ribosomal RNA
Source: RNAcentral
GAUGAACGCUGGCGGCGUGCCUAAUACAUGCAAGUCGAGCGAACAGAUGAGGAGCUUGCUCCUCUGACGUUAGCGGCGGACGGGUGAGUAACACGUGGAUAACCUACCUAUAAGACUGGGAUAACUUCGGGAAACCGGAGCUAAUACCGGAUAAUAUAUUGAACCGCAUGGUUCAAUAGUGAAAGACGGUUUUGCUGUCACUUAUAGAUGGAUCCGCGCCGUAUUAGCUAGUUGGUAAGGUAACGGCUUACCAAGGCAACGAUGCGUAGCCGACCUGAGAGGGUGAUCGGCCGCACUGGAACUGAGACACGGUCCAGACUCCUACGGGAGGCAGCAGUAGGGAAUCUUCCGCAAUGGGCGAAAGCCUGACGGAGCAACGCCGCGUGAGUGAUGAAGGUCUUCGGAUCGUAAAACUCUGUUAUUAGGGAAGAACAAAUGUGUAAGUAACUAUGCACGUCUUGACGGUACCUAAUCAGAAAGCCACGGCUAACUACGUG